This 433-nucleotide ribosomal RNA is filed under the name uncultured bacterium. RNAcentral's name for it is "partial 16S ribosomal RNA". It matches the Rfam family "Bacterial small subunit ribosomal RNA", at positions 29 to 507 of the family's 1533-position model. The record is from RNAcentral.
AACGAACGCUGGCGGCAUGCCUAGCACAUGCAAGUCGAACGAGACCUUCGGGUCUAGUGGCGCACGGGUGCGUAACGCGUGGGAACCUGCCCUUAGGUUCGGAAUAACUCCCCGAAAGGGGUGCUAAUACCGGAUAAUGUCUUCGGACCAAAGAUUUAUCGCCUUUGGAUGGGCCCGCGUUGGAUUAGCUAGUUGGUAGGGUAAAAGCCUACCAAGGCGACGAUCCAUAGCUGGUCUGAGAGGAUGAUCAGCCACACUGGGACUGAGACACGGCCCAGACUCCUACGGGAGGCAGGAGUGGGGAAUAUAGGACAAUGGGCGAAAGCCUGAUCCAGCAAUGCCGCGUGAGUGAUGAAGGCCUUAGGGUUGUAAAGCUCUUUUACCCGGGAUGAUAAUGACAGUACCGGGAGAAUAAGCUCCGGCUAACUCCGUG